UCCACGCAGUAAACGAUGAAUGUUAGUCGUCGGGGGCCUAGUGUCUUCGGUGAUGCAGCUAACGCAUUAAACAUUCCGCCUGGGGAGUACGGUCGCAAGAUUAAAACUCAAAGGAAUAGACGGGGACCCGCACAAGUGGUGGAGCAUGUGGUUUAAUUCGAAGAUACGCGAAGAACCUUACCUAGCCUUGACAUUGAAGUAAACGACACGUAGAGAUAGAG
Molecule: ribosomal RNA, 221 nt
Filed under: uncultured bacterium
Lineage: Bacteria
Description: partial 16S ribosomal RNA
Rfam family: Bacterial small subunit ribosomal RNA
Source: RNAcentral